CCUACGGUGGGCAGCAGUGGGGAAUAUUGCACAAUGGGGGAAACCCUGAUGCAGCGACGCCGCGUGAGUGAAGAAGUAUUUCGGUUUGUAAAGCUCUCUCAGCAGGGAAGAAGAAAGACGGUACCUGACUAAGAAGCCCCGGCUAACUACGUGUCAGCAGCCGCGGUUAUACGUAGGGGGCAAGCGUUAUCCGGAUUUACUGGGUGUACAGGGAGCGUAGACGGCGGUGCAAGUCUGAAGUGAAAGACCAGGGCUCAACCCUGGGAGUGCUUUGGAUACUGUGGAGCUAGAGUCCUGGAGAGGGAAGGGGAAUUCCUAGUGUAGCGGUGAAAUGCGUAGAUAUUAGGAGGAACACCAGUGGCGAAGGCGGCUUACUGGACAGUAACUGACGUUGAGGCUCGAAAGCGUGGGGAGCAAACAGGAUUAGAUACCCCAGUAGUC
Molecule: ribosomal RNA, 441 nt
Filed under: uncultured bacterium
Lineage: Bacteria
Description: partial 16S ribosomal RNA
Rfam family: Bacterial small subunit ribosomal RNA
Source: RNAcentral